Molecule: ribosomal RNA, 253 nt
Filed under: uncultured bacterium
Lineage: Bacteria
Description: partial 16S ribosomal RNA
Rfam family: Bacterial small subunit ribosomal RNA
Source: RNAcentral
UACAGAGACUGCAAGCGUUAUUCGGAAUCACUGGGCUUAAAGCGUCCGUAGGCGGCUCGGAAAGUAGGGUGUGAAAUCCCACGGCUCAACCGUGGAAUUGCGCUCUAAACUAUCGAGCUAGAGGGAGAUAGAGGUGAGCGGAACUGAUGGUGGAGCGGUGAAAUGCGUUGAUAUCAUCAGGAACACCGGAGGCGAAGGCGGCUCACUGGGUCUUUUCUGACGCUGAGGGACGAAAGCUAGGGGAGCGAACGGG